ACUUGAAUAGCUUAUGGAUUAGAGCACGACACUGAAGAUGUCGGUGAGGUAUUUUGUUGCCUUUGAGUA
This 69-nucleotide transfer RNA is filed under the name Microcerotermes sp. 1 TB-2017. RNAcentral describes it as "tRNA-Phe". Lineage: Eukaryota; Metazoa; Arthropoda; Insecta; Blattodea; Termitidae. RNAcentral also lists the same sequence under 1 other name. The record is from RNAcentral.